CGAUUCAAAAUCAAAAUACGACAGAAAACAAAUUGUUAUAAAGUGAACGAAUUAAACACAGUGAAAUAAAUAACAUGCAUUUUGUUGAUAUUCCUAUAACGUAGUCCAGGACGACGAAAUAAAAUAUAAUCAAACUAUAAACAUAGAUGAAAAAAUAAAUAUUAUAGUAAGUAUCUAUUAUAUUAUUAUUAUUAUUAAAAAUAAUAAAAUAAAAUAAAUAAGUAGUUUAAUUUAUUUAUAAGUUAUAUUUAUCCAUAAAAUUAAUCUUCUCCUUUAUCCUUAUAUAAUAAAAUGUGAAGGAAUUCGCGACGUUGGCGAUGCAGCAAAUAAGGAACGCCAAUUAGAAAAUUAGAUUUUUUUCUGAUCGCUGUUUUCUGAACUCCGUGGCCGCGUCGUUAUCGAAACGAAUAGUUCUCCUACCGUCGAUAAUGCGAUUAUCAAAACAAACGGUUCUCCUCUGGUUAAUAACACGAGUUUUUGAAAACAAUUUUUACAGUUUUCGCCGGAUUUUUCAAUUUUUCCGAACGUUUUUCACUUCGUUGUUUGCGUAGCUCGCGUCUCUUGAAGACCGUGCGUAUACCUGUUUUUCGUCGUUUGUUUUUGUAGCUGUCACGAUCGCGAUUGUCUGUAUAUGAAAUAUAUACUAUUUGAAGCUUGAGUUUACACAACAUUUUGAUUACACUUGCUACUCGCAUAUUGUCCUCGAUGUAACGCAGUCGGCUUGCUUACAUGGCUCAAACCUCACUGAUCCGGUGAAACGAUUUUCACUCGACCAACUUGAAGGCACCCGAGGAAAUUUCCAAACUCCAGCAAUUAAGUUUCCGCCAGCCACUAGUUGUGAUAAUAAAUUACGAAAUGACAAGAAUAUUAAUAAUAAUGAUUGCAAGACAGUGGUGUACCUGAAUUGCCUAUCCAAAACGCCGCUGAACAUAAUAUCAGUAAUGAAAAUAUGUGUACGCAAUAUUGCCAUUUUAUAUAAUAUAAUAUAUAUUAUAUAUAAAAACAAAUAGAAAAACUUUUCUAAAAAACAUUAGAAAUAUCGACCAUUAUUAAAAAUAAAUAUUUUUUUUUUGAAAUAAAUUUAAAUGGCUGUUGCUCAUAUCCAGGUUUAGGUACACGAUAAAGGAAUUCUUAACGAUAAAUUAUACGUAGGUACCUAUGUACGUUAUUUUAUGAUUCUGUUUUUAAAAAUUGAGUAAAACAGUUUACAUAGAAUAUACUAGAGAAAACGUCGUUAACUUAAUAUAUUUAUAAUAUUGGAGCGCAUUGUAUUUAUAAUAUUAUAUUACUACAGCAAUGUUUAUAUAAUAUAUAAAGAGGUAGGUAUGUGUGCUUAUUUAUAGUUUUGUUUAUGCGAAUAAAUGUUUUAAUAACCGAUUGUGUUUCGCUAAAUUGUAAAAUAACUCGGAAAUUUCUUCUAGGUUUUCGUGUGUAUACUUUUGCGUACCAUUACAUACAUUAUAGGCUUGUAGAGUUAUAAUAUUUAUUAG
Aphis gossypii (cotton aphid) is the source of this 1490-nucleotide long non-coding RNA. RefSeq lists it as uncharacterized. Lineage: Eukaryota; Metazoa; Arthropoda; Insecta; Hemiptera; Aphididae. The transcript is spliced from 3 exons. The record is from RefSeq and is a predicted model, not a curated record.